Molecule: ribosomal RNA, 641 nt
Filed under: Leifsonia sp. I15A-00285
Lineage: Bacteria; Bacillati; Actinomycetota; Actinomycetes; Micrococcales; Microbacteriaceae
Description: bacterial SSU rRNA
Rfam family: Bacterial small subunit ribosomal RNA
Source: RNAcentral
UAGUGGCGAACGGGUGAGUAACACGUGAGUAACCUGCCCUUGACUCUGGGAUAACCUCCGGAAACGGAAGCUAAUACCGGAUACGAACUGCGAAGGCAUCUUCAGCAGUUGGAAAGAACUUCGGUCAAGGAUGGACUCGCGGCCUAUCAGGUAGUUGGUGAGGUAACGGCCCACCAAGCCUACGACGGGUAGCCGGCCUGAGAGGGUGACCGGCCACACUGGGACUGAGACACGGCCCAGACUCCUACGGGAGGCAGCAGUGGGGAAUAUUGCACAAUGGGCGCAAGCCUGAUGCAGCAACGCCGCGUGAGGGAUGACGGCCUUCGGGUUGUAAACCUCUUUUAGUAGGGAAGAAGCGAAAGUGACGGUACCUGCAGAAAAAGCACCGGCUAACUACGUGCCAGCAGCCGCGGUAAUACGUAGGGUGCGAGCGUUGUCCGGAAUUAUUGGGCGUAAAGAGCUCGUAGGCGGUCUGUCGCGUCUGCUGUGAAAACCCGAGGCUCAACCUCGGGCCUGCAGUGGGUACGGGCAGACUAGAGUGCGGUAGGGGAGAAUGGAAUUCCUGGUGUAGCGGUGGAAUGCGCAGAUAUCAGGAGGAACACCGAUGGCGAAGGCAGUUCUCUGGGCCGUAACUGACGCUG